RNAcentral lists this ribosomal RNA (1281 nucleotides) under Candidatus Streptomyces philanthi bv. parkeri. RNAcentral describes it as "bacterial SSU rRNA". It matches the Rfam family "Bacterial small subunit ribosomal RNA", at positions 118 to 1405 of the family's 1533-position model. The record is from RNAcentral. Lineage: Bacteria; Bacillati; Actinomycetota; Actinomycetes; Kitasatosporales; Streptomycetaceae.
UGGGCAAUCUGCCCUGCACUCUGGGACAAGCCCUGGAAACGGGGUCUAAUACCGGAUAUGACUACCGAUCGCAUGGUUGGUGGUGGAAAGCUCCGGCGGUGCAGGAUGAGCCCGCGGCCUAUCAGCUUGUUGGUGGGGUGAUGGCCUACCAAGGCGACGACGGGUAGCCGGCCUGAGAGGGCGACCGGCCACACUGGGACUGAGACACGGCCCAGACUCCUACGGGAGGCAGCAGUGGGGAAUAUUGCACAAUGGGCGAAAGCCUGAUGCAGCGACGCCGCGUGAGGGAUGACGGCCUUCGGGUUGUAAACCUCUUUCAGCAGGGAAGAAGCGCAAGUGACGGUACCUGCAGAAGAAGCGCCGGCUAACUACGUGCCAGCAGCCGCGGUAAUACGUAGGGCGCGAGCGUUGUCCGGAAUUAUUGGGCGUAAAGAGCUCGUAGGCGGCUUGUCGCGUCGGAUGUGAAAGCCCGGGGCUUAACCCCGGGUCUGCAUUCGAUACGGGCAGGCUAGAGUUCGGUAGGGGAGAUCGGAAUUCCUGGUGUAGCGGUGAAAUGCGCAGAUAUCAGGAGGAACACCGGUGGCGAAGGCGGAUCUCUGGGCCGAUACUGACGCUGAGGAGCGAAAGCGUGGGGAGCGAACAGGAUUAGAUACCCUGGUAGUCCACGCCGUAAACGUUGGGAACUAGGUGUGGGCGACAUUCCACGUCGUCCGUGCCGCAGCUAACGCAUUAAGUUCCCCGCCUGGGGAGUACGGCCGCAAGGCUAAAACUCAAAGGAAUUGACGGGGGCCCGCACAAGCGGCGGAGCAUGUGGCUUAAUUCGACGCAACGCGAAGAACCUUACCAAGGCUUGACAUACACCGGAAACGGCCAGAGAUGGUCGCCCCCUUGUGGUCGGUGUACAGGUGGUGCAUGGCUGUUGUCAGCUCGUGUCGUGAGAUGUUGGGUUAAGUCCCGCAACGAGCGCAACCCUUGUUCUGUGUUGCCAGCAUGCCUUUCGGGGUGAUGGGGACUCACAGGAGACUGCCGGGGUCAACUCGGAGGAAGGUGGGGACGACGUCAAGUCAUCAUGCCCCUUAUGUCUUGGGCUGCACACGUGCUACAAUGGCCGGUACAAUGAGCUGCGAUACCGUGAGGUGGAGCGAAUCUCAAAAAGCCGGUCUCAGUUCGGAUUGGGGUUUGCAACUCGACCCCAUGAAGUCGGAGUCGCUAGUAAUCGCAGAUCAGCAUUGCUGCGGUGAAUACGUUCCCGGGCCUUGUACACACCGCCCGUCCCGUCAC